UCAUUUAUAUAAUAUUUUUAUUAAAGUUUAAAUUAUUUAUGUAAAAAAAUCAAUAGUGAAGUGUCCAUCCAUCUUCUUCUUCAUCAUAUCCAUCCCUUCUCCUCCAUCUCAAUUCCCCCAAUUCCACUGCAGUCAUAAUCAAACAGUCCUCCUACUCAAUCCCUCACCUCACAUUAAGAAGAACCCAACUUCACCGACCGAAAGCAUCUCGAUGUUGCAAUUCUUCAUACCAGUAACCAUCGUUCCUCUUCUCCCCGACAUUUACCUCUCCCAGAUCCACUCAUCAGAAUCGAUUUCCUCUCCUUCCUUGGCUGGUUUCAAGGCCAUCCUCCUUGCGAUAUAUUCUACGAAGGUAAAAUCCAGGGUUGGGAAACCUGUUCUUGCUCAUACUCUAGAUCUCUCGUAGCCAUCUCUGUAUUAAGCUCUGAAAAUAUACAAAUAGGGAGCUCGUCGAUGACUUGUUGACUGAAAGGUCAAAGGUCUCUAACCAUGAUGAACAUGAAGCAAACCCGGGAGGAAUCAAACCGGUGAUUUUUUUGAAGAUAGAUUGAGAUUCCCACAAGACUUGGAGAUAAAUCGUCGACGAAGACUUGCCAAAAUCUUGCCGUGGAAUUGGUUGCCAGAGCCACAAGAACUUUGAUUUCUUCUUCCACAUAUGUCGUUGUUUCGCCGGAAGACGUUAAAUAUGCGAGACUCUCGCAUAAAUGGAGGAGAUGAGUACCAAUAUCGUUAGAGAUUCUAUUGCUAGAGACAUCGAGGUGGGAGAGAGUUGGAAGAGAGGAUACAAAUGAGAUGGACGGUGUAGAUGGAUAAAUAAAAAACAAUUUCAUUUGAAAUUAAAAUAAAUUAAUAAUUAUCCAAUCGGAUAAAUAUAACCUUGAAAAA
Molecule: long non-coding RNA, 885 nt
Filed under: Linum usitatissimum (flax)
Lineage: Eukaryota; Viridiplantae; Streptophyta; Magnoliopsida; Malpighiales; Linaceae
Description: long non-coding RNA (LUSI_LNC007062)
Source: RNAcentral